GUCUCUAACACACACACACACUAAAAUUGGAACAAUACAGAGAAAAUUAGCAUGGGCCUUGUACAAGAAUGACACAUGAAUUUGUGAAGUGUUCCACAUUUUC
Hippopotamus amphibius kiboko is the source of this 103-nucleotide small nuclear RNA. The record is from RefSeq and is a predicted model, not a curated record. NCBI's taxonomy places the organism in Eukaryota, Metazoa, Chordata, Mammalia, Artiodactyla, Hippopotamidae.